AAGUCGUAACAAGGUUUCCGUAGGUGAACCUGCGGAAGGAUCAUUAACACGUUAUCCACGUAUCUACCUCUUGCGAACUUUUUACUGUUCAGGAGUCGGCAGACCAGCGUAGAUAAUGGAGGUAGAUGUUACUAUGUCCAGUGGCCGACACCCUGGUUCUACCUGCCUAGCUAACCCCGCCAUCCCCUUCGUUUUUUUUUAAAUGUGGUGUAAGAAAAAAAGAAGCGUGUUGGGUGUGGGCUUAGGUAUUCUGGUUCAUAUGACUCGAAUCAUAGUAGUUUUUUUAAUCUUAUUAACCCUUUUUUUACUUAAUUUGUUGAAUUGUGAUGGUCCCUGGAGGUAACACUUCGGGUGGCUCACGUUAAUAAAACACUAUACAACUCUUAGCAACGGAUAUCUCGGUUCU
This 406-nucleotide unclassified non-coding RNA is filed under the name fungal sp. RNAcentral describes it as "partial internal transcribed spacer region". The stretch from base 1 to 46 matches the Rfam family "Eukaryotic small subunit ribosomal RNA", at positions 1786 to 1831 of the family's 1831-position model. Lineage: Eukaryota; Fungi. The record is from RNAcentral.